Molecule: ribosomal RNA, 2905 nt
Filed under: Escherichia coli
Lineage: Bacteria; Pseudomonadati; Pseudomonadota; Gammaproteobacteria; Enterobacterales; Enterobacteriaceae
Description: 23S ribosomal RNA
Rfam family: Bacterial large subunit ribosomal RNA
Source: RNAcentral
GGUUAAGCGACUAAGCGUACACGGUGGAUGCCCUGGCAGUCAGAGGCGAUGAAGGACGUGCUAAUCUGCGAUAAGCGUCGGUGAGGUGAUAUGAACCGUUAUAACCGGCGAUUUCCGAAUGGGGAAACCCAGUGUGUUUCGACACACUAUCAUUAACUGAAUCCAUAGGUUAAUGAGGCGAACCGGGGGAACUGAAACAUCUAAGUACCCCGAGGAAAAGAAAUCAACCGAGAUUCCCCCAGUAGCGGCGAGCGAACGGGGAGCAGCCCAGAGCCUGAAUCAGUGUGUGUGUUAGUGGAAGCGUCUGGAAAGGCGUGCGAUACAGGGUGACAGCCCCGUACACAAAAAUGCACAUACUGUGAGCUCGAUGAGUAGGGCGGGACACGUGGUAUCCUGUCUGAAUAUGGGGGGACCAUCCUCCAAGGCUAAAUACUCCUGACUGACCGAUAGUGAACCAGUACCGUGAGGGAAAGGCGAAAAGAACCCCGGCGAGGGGAGUGAAAAAGAACCUGAAACCGUGUACGUACAAGCAGUGGGAGCCUCUUAAUGGGGUGACUGCGUACCUUUUGUAUAAUGGGUCAGCGACUUAUAUUCUGUAGCAAGGUUAACCGAAUAGGGGAGCCGAAGGGAAACCGAGUCUUAACUGGGCGUUAAGUUGCAGGGUAUAGACCCGAAACCCGGUGAUCUAGCCAUGGGCAGGUUGAAGGUUGGGUAACACUAACUGGAGGACCGAACCGACUAAUGUUGAAAAAUUAGCGGAUGACUUGUGGCUGGGGGUGAAAGGCCAAUCAAACCGGGAGAUAGCUGGUUCUCCCCGAAAGCUAUUUAGGUAGCGCCUCGUGAAUUCAUCUCCGGGGGUAGAGCACUGUUUCGGCAAGGGGGUCAUCCCGACUUACCAACCCGAUGCAAACUGCGAAUACCGGAGAAUGUUAUCACGGGAGACACACGGCGGGUGCUAACGUCCGUCGUGAAGAGGGAAACAACCCAGACCGCCAGCUAAGGUCCCAAAGUCAUGGUUAAGUGGGAAACGAUGUGGGAAGGCCCAGACAGCCAGGAUGUUGGCUUAGAAGCAGCCAUCAUUUAAAGAAAGCGUAAUAGCUCACUGGUCGAGUCGGCCUGCGCGGAAGAUGUAACGGGGCUAAACCAUGCACCGAAGCUGCGGCAGCGACGUUUAUGCGUUGUUGGGUAGGGGAGCGUUCUGUAAGCCUGCGAAGGUGUACUGUGAGGUAUGCUGGAGGUAUCAGAAGUGCGAAUGCUGACAUAAGUAACGAUAAAGCGGGUGAAAAGCCCGCUCGCCGGAAGACCAAGGGUUCCUGUCCAACGUUAAUCGGGGCAGGGUGAGUCGACCCCUAAGGCGAGGCCGAAAGGCGUAGUCGAUGGGAAACAGGUUAAUAUUCCUGUACUUGGUGUUACUGCGAAGGGGGGACGGAGAAGGCUAUGUUGGCCGGGCGACGGUUGUCCCGGUUUAAGCGUGUAGGCUGGUUUUCCAGGCAAAUCCGGAAAAUCAAGGCUGAGGCGUGAUGACGAGGCACUACGGUGCUGAAGCAACAAAUGCCCUGCUUCCAGGAAAAGCCUCUAAGCAUCAGGUAACAUCAAAUCGUACCCCAAACCGACACAGGUGGUCAGGUAGAGAAUACCAAGGCGCUUGAGAGAACUCGGGUGAAGGAACUAGGCAAAAUGGUGCCGUAACUUCGGGAGAAGGCACGCUGAUAUGUAGGUGAAGUCCCUCGCGGAUGGAGCUGAAAUCAGUCGAAGAUACCAGCUGGCUGCAACUGUUUAUUAAAAACACAGCACUGUGCAAACACGAAAGUGGACGUAUACGGUGUGACGCCUGCCCGGUGCCGGAAGGUUAAUUGAUGGGGUUAGCGGUAACGCGAAGCUCUUGAUCGAAGCCCCGGUAAACGGCGGCCGUAACUAUAACGGUCCUAAGGUAGCGAAAUUCCUUGUCGGGUAAGUUCCGACCUGCACGAAUGGCGUAAUGAUGGCCAGGCUGUCUCCACCCGAGACUCAGUGAAAUUGAACUCGCUGUGAAGAUGCAGUGUACCCGCGGCAAGACGGAAAGACCCCGUGAACCUUUACUAUAGCUUGACACUGAACAUUGAGCCUUGAUGUGUAGGAUAGGUGGGAGGCUUUGAAGUGUGGACGCCAGUCUGCAUGGAGCCGGCCUUGAAAUACCACCCUUUAAUGUUUGAUGUUCUAACGUUGGCCCCUUACCGGGGUUGCGGACAGUGUCUGGUGGGUAGUUUGACUGGGGCGGUCUCCUCCUAAAGAGUAACGGAGGAGCACGAAGGUUGGCUAAUCCUGGUCGGACAUCAGGAGGUUAGUGCAAUGGCAUAAGCCAGCUUGACUGCGAGCGUGACGGCGCGAGCAGGUGCGAAAGCAGGUCAUAGUGAUCCGGUGGUUCUGAAUGGAAGGGCCAUCGCUCAACGGAUAAAAGGUACUCCGGGGAUAACAGGCUGAUACCGCCCAAGAGUUCAUAUCGACGGCGGUGUUUGGCACCUCGAUGUCGGCUCAUCACAUCCUGGGGCUGAAGUAGGUCCCAAGGGUAUGGCUGUUCGCCAUUUAAAGUGGUACGCGAGCUGGGUUUAGAACGUCGUGAGACAGUUCGGUCCCUAUCUGCCGUGGGCGCUGGAGAACUGAGGGGGGCUGCUCCUAGUACGAGAGGACCGGAGUGGACGCAUCACUGGUGUUCGGGUUGUCAUGCCAAUGGCACUGCCCGGUAGCUAAAUGCGGAAGAGAUAAGUGCUGAAAGCAUCUAAGCACGAAACUUGCCCCGAGAUGAGUUCUCCCUGACUCUUUAAGGGUCCUGAAGGAACGUUGAAGACGACGACGUUGAUAGGCCGGGUGUGUAAGCGCAGCGAUGCGUUGAGCUAACCGGUACUAAUGAACCGUGAGGCUUAACCUU